UACGGAAGGCAGCAGUGGGGAAUAUUGCACAAUGGGCGAAAGCCUGAUGCAGCUAUGCCGCGUGUAUGAAGAAGGCCUUAGGGUUGUAAAGUACUUUCAUCGGGGAGGAAAAACAAAACUAAUAAUUUUAUUUCUUGACGUUACCCGAAAAAGAAGCACCGGCUAACUCCGUGCCAGCAGCCGCGGUAAUACGGAGGGUGCUAGCGUUAAUCAGAAUUACUGGGCGUAAAGAGCACGUAGGUGGUUUUUUUAAGUCAGAUGUGAAAUCCCUGGGCUUAACCUGGAACUGCAUUUUGAAACUGAAAUACUAGAGUAUCGUAGAGGGAGGUAGAAUUCUAGGUGUAGCGGUGAAAUGCGUAGAUAUCUGGAGGAAUACCUGUGGCGAAAGCGGCCUCCUAAACGAAUACUGACACUGAGGUGCGAAAGCGUGGGGAGCAAACAGGGAUUAGAUAU
RNAcentral lists this ribosomal RNA (453 nucleotides) under uncultured bacterium. RNAcentral describes it as "bacterial SSU rRNA". It matches the Rfam family "Bacterial small subunit ribosomal RNA", at positions 340 to 785 of the family's 1533-position model. The record is from RNAcentral.